This 238-nucleotide ribosomal RNA is filed under the name uncultured bacterium. RNAcentral describes it as "partial 16S ribosomal RNA". It matches the Rfam family "Bacterial small subunit ribosomal RNA", at positions 118 to 343 of the family's 1533-position model. The record is from RNAcentral.
UGGGUAACCUGCCUCAAAGAGGGGAAUAGCCUCCCGAAAGGGAGAUUAAUACCGCAUAAUAUGUUUAAGUCGCAUGACUUUAACAUCAAAGGAUUUUCUUUUAGAAAUUCCACUUUGAGAUGGACCCGCGGCGCAUUAGCUAGUUGGUGAGGUAACGGCUCACCAAGGCAACGAUGCGUAGCCGACCUGAGAGGGUGAUCGGCCACAUUGGAACUGAGACACGGCCCAGCUCCGUAGG